Molecule: ribosomal RNA, 440 nt
Filed under: uncultured bacterium
Lineage: Bacteria
Description: partial 16S ribosomal RNA
Rfam family: Bacterial small subunit ribosomal RNA
Source: RNAcentral
CCUACGGGAGGCAGCAGUGGGGGAUAUUGCACAAUGGGGGGAACCCUGAUGCAGCGACGCCGCGUGGGUGAAGAAGCGCCUCGGCGCGUAAAGCCCUGUCAGCAGGGAAGAAAAUGACGGUACCUGAAGAAGAAGCCCCGGCUAACUACGUGCCAGCAGCCGCGGGAAUACGUAGGGGGCAAGCGUUAUCCGGAUUUACUGGGUGUAACGGGGGCGCAGACGGCGAUGCAAGCCAGGAGUGAAAGCCCGGGGCCCAACCCCGGGACUGCUCUUGGAACUGUGCGGCUAGAGUGCAGGAGGGGCAGGCGGAAUUCCUGGUGUAGCGGUGAAAUGCGUAGAUAUCAGGAGGAACACCGGCGGCGAAGGCGGCCUGCUGGACCGCGACUGACGUUGAGGCUCGAAAGCGUGGGGAGCGAACAGGAUUAGAUACCCCUGUAGUC